This 955-nucleotide long non-coding RNA is filed under the name Lactuca sativa (garden lettuce). RNAcentral's name for it is "long non-coding RNA (LSAT_LNC006995)". Lineage: Eukaryota; Viridiplantae; Streptophyta; Magnoliopsida; Asterales; Asteraceae. The record is from RNAcentral.
CCUAAUAUGAAGACUUCAUCUCUGAUUCACUAGUAGAGAGAUAAGCAACAAUGAAGUUAAUUUGUACACACACAUAUACGUACUUGCAUCAGAGUAUACACACAUAACAAUAUAGAAACAAUCUGAUUUAGUUAAAACAUUCCUCGCCCAUCCUUGAACCUUCUUGAGAAGUAUCAACCAAAAUAGGCUUCAAUUAAAACAACCAAAAAAAGGACAAAAUCAUCUUCUUAAAAAAGAAUUAUAAAUAUUUAUUUUGCUAAAUCAGACCAUUUUGGAUACAAAAAAUAUAUAUAUAACAAAUAAGCUUUAUUUUCUAUGAUAUAAAAACACAAACUUUGGCGAUGAAGAAUUAGGAUUUUGGUGAGAGAGGCUCGACGGUGAUGCAAUGGCGGGAAGGAAUCCAAGGUGGUGGCGUCAUCUCUCUUUUACUCUCAUCUUCAUGUUUCUCUAUCUUUCCUUUGCUCUUUCUCACAUCUGACAGAAACACAGAAAAGAAGCCACAUAUUAACCGAGGAGUAGAAGCCAAUUAAUCAACAACACAUUAACUACAGAAAAGAAGCCAAAGACUUAGAAACUUACUAGGGUGAAUCAUCAUCAGAGGGAAGGGUUGUUGUAACGUCGCAGGGUUUUAACUAGGGGUUCCUUCUAUUGGAAUCAAAUUUCAAGAACGACAAGAAGACAAAUAUUGGUAGUCGAUUUGGGAGGUGAGUGAGGUUUUGGAAUUUGGAUUUUAGAAACAAGUAUGAGGCCAGAAGGUAUCGAGAGGUAAAGGGGUGAAAGAUGUUUUCCCUCCAAAUACCCUCUGACUGCAUGCAAGAUGCUCUCCUUCACAUUGAUACACCAUACCACAACUAUAGUUUAGAGGGUGCAGGAAAAAGGUAAGGGGAGCCUAUCCCUCUCUCUCUCUCUCUCUCUCUCUCUCUCUCUCUCUCUCUCUCUCUCUCUCUCUCUCUCU